GCGGUCGUAGUUUAGUGGUAGAACUGGUGCUUCCCAAGCAUCGGGCGCGGGUUCGAUUCUCGCCGGCCGCACCA
Molecule: transfer RNA, 74 nt
Filed under: Candidatus Nomurabacteria bacterium RIFCSPHIGHO2_01_FULL_38_19
Lineage: Bacteria; Candidatus Nomuraibacteriota
Description: tRNA-Gly
Rfam family: tRNA
About the family: Transfer RNA (tRNA) molecules are approximately 80 nucleotides in length. Their secondary structure includes four short double-helical elements and three loops (D, anti-codon, and T loops).
Source: RNAcentral